UACGUAGGGGGCAAGCGUUUGUCCGGAAUCAUUGGGCGUAAAGCGCGUGUAGGCGGCUCGAUAAGUCUGCUGUGAAAGUCCAGGGCUCAACCCUGGGAUGCCGGUGGAUACUGUCGAGCUCGAGUCCGGAAGAGGCGAGUGGAAUCCUGGUGUAGCGGUGAAAUGCGCAGAUAUCAGGAGGAACACCGAUGGCGAAGGCAGGUCUCCUGGGCCGACUACUGACGCUGGAGAAGCGAAAGCAUGGGGAGCGAACAGG
This 256-nucleotide ribosomal RNA is filed under the name uncultured bacterium. RNAcentral describes it as "partial 16S ribosomal RNA". It matches the Rfam family "Bacterial small subunit ribosomal RNA", at positions 524 to 776 of the family's 1533-position model. The record is from RNAcentral.